RNAcentral lists this ribosomal RNA (478 nucleotides) under uncultured bacterium. Its description in RNAcentral is "partial 16S ribosomal RNA". It matches the Rfam family "Bacterial small subunit ribosomal RNA", at positions 28 to 523 of the family's 1533-position model. The record is from RNAcentral.
GACGAACGCUGGCGGCAUGCCUAACACAUGCAAGUCGAGCGAAUAGAUCCCUUCGGGGUGAAGCUAGCGGCGGACGGGUGAGUAACACGUGGGCAACCUGCAUCAUAGAGGGGAAUAGCCUUCCGAAAGGAAGAUUAAUACCGCAUAAGAUUGUAGUACCGCAUGGUAUAGCAAUUAAAGGAGCAAUCCGAUAUGAGAUGGGCCCGCGGCGCAUUAGCUAGUUGGUGAGGUAACGGCUCACCAAGGCGACGAUGCGUAGCCGACCUGAGAGGGUGAUCGGCCACAUUGGGACUGAGACACGGCCCAGACUCCUACGGGAGGCAGCAGUGGGGAAUAUUGCACAAUGGGGGAAACCCUGAUGCAGCAAUGCCGCGUGAGUGAUGACGGCCUUCGGGUUGUAAAGCUCUGUCUUCGGGGACGAUAAUGACGGUACCCGAGGAGGAAGCCACGGCUAGCUACGUGCCAGCCGCCGCCGUAA